UAGGGAAUCUUCCGCAAUGGGCGAAAGCCUGACGGAGCAACGCCGCGUGAGGGAUGAAGGUCUUCGGAUCGUAAAACUCUGUUAUUAGGGAAGAACAAAUGUGUAAGUAACUAUGCACGUCUUGACGGUACCUAAUCAGAAAGCCACGGCUAACUACGUGCCAGCAGCCGCGGUAAUACGUAGGUGGCAAGCGUUAUCCGGAAUUAUUGGGCGUAAAGCGCGCGUAGGCGGUUUUUUAAGUCUGAUGUGAAAGCCCACGGCUCAACCGUGGAGGGUCAUUGGAAACUGGAAAACUUGAGUGCAGAAGAGGAAAGUGGAAUUCCAUGUGUAGCGGUGAAAUGCGCAGAGAUAUGGAGGAACACCAGUGGCGAAGGCGACUUUCUGGUCUGUAACUGACGCUGAUGUGCGAAAGCGUGGGGAUCAAACAGG
Molecule: ribosomal RNA, 429 nt
Filed under: Actinomycetes bacterium
Lineage: Bacteria; Bacillati; Actinomycetota; Actinomycetes
Description: Actinobacteria bacterium partial 16S ribosomal RNA
Rfam family: Bacterial small subunit ribosomal RNA
Source: RNAcentral